GACGAACGCUGGCGGCGUGCCUAAUACAUGCAAGUAGAACGCUGAAGGAGGAGCUUGCUUCUCUGGAUGAGUUGCGAACGGGUGAGUAACGCGUAGGUAACCUGCCUGGUAGCGGGGGAUAACUAUUGGAAACGAUAGCUAAUACCGCAUAAGAGUAGAUGUCGCAUGACAUUUGCUUAAAAGGUGCAAUUGCAUCACUACCAGAUGGACCUGCGUUGUAUUAGCUAGUUGGUGAGGUAACGGCUCACCAAGGCAACGAUACAUAGCCGACCUGAGAGGGUGAUCGGUCACACUGGGACUGAGACACGGCCCAGACUCCUACGGGAGGCAGCAGUAGGGAAUCUUCGGCAAUGGACGGAAGUCUGACCGAGCAACGCCGCGUGAGUGAAGAAGGUUUUCGGAUCGUAAAGCUCUGUUGUAAGAGAAGAACGAGUGUGAGAGUGGAAAGUUCACACUGUGACGGUAUCUUACCAGAAAGGGACGGCUAACUACGUG
RNAcentral lists this ribosomal RNA (495 nucleotides) under uncultured bacterium. RNAcentral's name for it is "partial 16S ribosomal RNA". It matches the Rfam family "Bacterial small subunit ribosomal RNA", at positions 28 to 507 of the family's 1533-position model. The record is from RNAcentral.